Molecule: long non-coding RNA, 1950 nt
Organism: Mus musculus (house mouse)
Lineage: Eukaryota; Metazoa; Chordata; Mammalia; Rodentia; Muridae
Product: RIKEN cDNA 4930429B21 gene
Exons: 1
Source: RefSeq, marked validated
GAGGACCGCACUCACCGGAACCGGCAGGCCGCAGCCGCCCCGCCACCCCGCGCGCCGCUGCCCGCUCCAAGACCACUUUCUGCGCUCGCCGCCGCCGACCGGCCGCUCCGCUGCUGGAGGCUGAUUGUCAAAAGUCGGUCGGAGCGGAGCCACCGGGAAACAGCUGCAGGAAGUGACUGCGGAACCGGGAGGCGGCGGCGGCGGCGGCGGCGGAGGAGGAGGAGGAGGAGGAGGAGGAGGCAGGGCUCCCGGCAGCGCUACUGCGCAUGUGCACGGACAAGCGGCUGCUCCCGCAGACCCGGGACGCCGAGCAGGUGCGGAACAGCGACUCGAAAGGGUACCCUACCCUGGCCCUGAUGGCUCCUCGGAGCUGCCCCAGCCUACCCUGAAAGCGAUGAGGGCAGAAGCUUGGCAGAGCCUGGUAGGAGGGCGGAGGUUCUCCUCUGAGACCUGGAAACUGCACUCCUUGCGCCUCCGCCCAAAGACAUUGGAAAGGAGCCCGCUCACCGGCAGGACCCGAAGGACUGCAGAAGUCCCCGGGAUACCUUCAAGAGAGGCGCUGGGAUGGAUUGCAGCCCUAGCUUGUUCUGCCGGCUUGUACCUUCUGCAUGUGAAUACUUGUAUAGUGGCUAGGGGUUUCUCCUUGGAUAACAUGACACGAAUUUUCCAUAUUACCGGCAGAGUAUGGUUUCGCAGCAUCAAGUACUUUCACAUUGUGUGUGGUUAUUGUGUAAACCAUAAACUAAAAUGCCAAGAUCUAAAUAUGGUGAGCCUCAACUCAGCCUAAUAGACUGCCUAUUUACACGGGAAUGCAAGGCUAUGACUGGAGCAUGCGCCAACAACCAGGUACGGGCGGGCUUCGCGAAUUCGAGGACUGUUCAGCAGACUAGACCAGUGUGCACCCGCCAUCGGGAAGAGUAAUCCACCGCACAGAUGAGUUCAGUGCACGUGCUGUAUAUGUGAAAAUACCAAAUGGCUUCAUUGUUUUAAAAGCAGCGGGGUAGAAACGCAUUUCUCAGCCCUUUGUCAGAACUUUGCCAUUCACUCUUGUUAGCUGGGACCAUGCUGGGCCCUGGCUGGCCUUUCCCAUCUGACAACCCUCAUCCUCGUUUUCACCCACAUGUCCCGUCUUAUAAAAUGGCUGGCAAAGGCAACGGAAGAAAAUUAAUUUUGGCUCGCAGUUUGAGGGUACAGUCCAUCACAGCAGGGAAGCCAUGAGAGCAAAAGUGGGGCAGCUGGUCACAAAUGUCCAUAGUCAGGAAACCGGGAGGAGCUGCUCGAUUGCUUUCCAUCCACGAAGCCGCCCACACUCAGGGUGAGUCUUCCCUCCUCGGUUUCUAAUCCAGAAACACUCCUAUUGACAGUCUGUACUAUCCAUCACAGGCCCAUAGUCUAGCGUUACCUCUGUGAUCUUACACAGCCUGUCCUUGGUGUUAAAUGCCUUUCUCCCUGUCCAUCCUUGCCCCCUGCAGCCUCUCCUACAAGCAACUUCCAUGGCCUCUCGGGCCACUGCAUGAUAACAAUCUCCAUUCCUCACAUGGGACUUUAUUACAUAUACUACUACCUUAAACUCCCUGAGUGCAGAAAGAGACAGGUCUUGGAGUCUUCCGUUUAUAUUUUAUAGUUUUAUGUGUAUUUGCAUGUUGGAAUAAAAUCUAAAAGCUGAAAGUAGGGGCCUUACCCGCUAGCUCAUACACAUACAUACACUCGAUGUUCCAAAUUUGCUGCCCCUGAUCCUACAACUUACUUCAAACAGCUCAGGCAUUUCCUUCUCUGGCCCAGGAAAAAGCAAGUAAUCCCAAGAUACUUGUUUCAUAGAAAUGUAAAUCUCAUGACAGAGAAAAUGGCCCCACAAAUUAGAGCUUUUUUUGUGAAUCACUGGGUCUUAUGAGAUUCAGUAGCCCCCCUCAAAUAAAUAAAUAAAUAAAUUUUUAAAAUAAAAUAAAUGAA